GCUUAGCCCUAAACCUAAAUAGCCAAACAACAAUGCUAUUCGCCAGAGUACUACUAGCAACAGCUUAAAACUCAAAGGACUUGGCGGUGCUUUACAUCCCUCUAGAGGAGCCUGUUCUGUAAUCGAUAAACCCCGAUAAACCUCACCAACUCUUGCUAAUACAGCCUAUAUACCGCCAUCUUCAGCAAACCCUAAAAAGGAAACAAAGUAAGCAAAACCAUGGAGCAUAAAAACGUUAGGUCAAGGUGUAGCCUAUGAGUUGGAAAGAAAUGGGCUACAUUUUCUAAUAUAGAAUAUCAACGAAAGUUCUCGUGAAACCGAGAACAGAAGGAGGAUUUAGUAGUAAAUUAAGAAUAGAGAGCUUAAUUGAAUCAGGCCAUGAAGCAC
This 387-nucleotide ribosomal RNA is filed under the name Pteropus woodfordi. Its description in RNAcentral is "partial 12S ribosomal RNA". It matches the Rfam family "Bacterial small subunit ribosomal RNA", at positions 794 to 1382 of the family's 1533-position model. The record is from RNAcentral. Lineage: Eukaryota; Metazoa; Chordata; Mammalia; Chiroptera; Pteropodidae.